This 506-nucleotide ribosomal RNA is filed under the name Paenibacillus sp. HPN109. Its description in RNAcentral is "bacterial SSU rRNA". It matches the Rfam family "Bacterial small subunit ribosomal RNA", at positions 21 to 503 of the family's 1533-position model. Lineage: Bacteria; Bacillati; Bacillota; Bacilli; Caryophanales; Paenibacillaceae. The record is from RNAcentral.
GGCUCAGGACGAACGCUGGCGGCGUGCCUAAUACAUGCAAGUCGAGCGGAAUUGAUGAGGUGCUUGCACUUCUAGAUAUUCAGCGGCGGACGGGUGAGUAACACGUAGGCAACCUGCCCACAAGAUCGGGAUAACUAGCGGAAACGUUAGCUAAAACCGGAUAGUACCAAGGGAUGCAUAUUCCUUGGUGGAAAGACGGAGCAAUCUGUUACUUGUGGAUGGGCCUGCGGCGCAUUAGCUAGUAGGUGAGGUAAAGGCUCACCUAGGCGACGAUGCGUAGCCGACCUGAGAGGGUGAACGGCCACACUGGGACUGAGACACGGCCCAGACUCCUACGGGAGGCAGCAGUAGGGAAUCUUCGGCAAUGGACGAAAGUCUGACCGAGCAACGCCGCGUGAGUGAAGAAGGGUUUCGGCUCGUAAAACUCUGUUGCUCAAGGAAGAAUACCAAUCGGAGUAACUGCCGGUAUGGAUGACGGUACUUGAGAAGAAAGCCCCGGCUAUUUC